GCUUGAAUAUGUCAUAUAUAUUGGGAGUCACCUCCUGAGGCGGCAGCGGUCCAAAUUACAGAAAGCGACAAAACUUCAAAAAAAGUCAUCAAAUAAGAAAGACAGCUAGGAGCACAAAUAUUGAAACCUGGAAGCAGAUAAAGUCAGGGAAAUGCAACUGAACAAGAUCACCAAUAGCCUCCAUCCUCUUCUGCAACUCCAAAUCUUCCCGGAACCAGACAUUGUAACUCAGUAUCUUAAACGUACUAAAAGCUUUUCCCGACUCCGCAUUAUCUGCAACAUACAAUAGCAUUUCAUAAAGCACGUAUUUUGCAGACAUUACAAAAAAUAGAAACGCAUAAAAAGACGCUCACCAUCGCCGGUGGGUCGAAGAGGGAAGAAAACAGAGCCAACGGAAGAAUCGCCGUCAGUGGCGUCAGUCAAGUCGUCGAGAUGGGAAAGGGAGAGAACGGGGCAUCGAGUAGCGCAGACUUCGCAAGAGGGGUUGUUGUAAGGGUUUAAGAAAGUGCAAGCCUUGCACGACCAUUUCGGGGGCGACGAAGACGAAGAAGAAGGACCGCUUGGGGACGCGGGGGACAAGCAGAUUUCGCACUCCCGCUUUUGAGAAGGAGGGUUCACGAAAGUGCAUUUUUUGCAGGCCCAAGACAUCGGAGAUGAAAUGCGAACCGAUCCAAAUUUUCUAGGGUUUAUCAGAAACGAUGAUGAAGCAAGUGAAGAGAAGAGUAAUCGAAGAGGCAUUUCAAAUUUCAUGCCGUUUUUGAACGACUAUCAAAACGCAACGCUUUGAAAAAGGUUAAAACGGCAACAUUACAAGCCGUACGUCGAGUGUCGAGUGUCGAGU
This 841-nucleotide small RNA is filed under the name Vigna angularis var. angularis. RNAcentral's name for it is "Non-protein coding transcript". Lineage: Eukaryota; Viridiplantae; Streptophyta; Magnoliopsida; Fabales; Fabaceae. The record is from RNAcentral.